Molecule: long non-coding RNA, 5800 nt
Organism: Numida meleagris (helmeted guineafowl)
Lineage: Eukaryota; Metazoa; Chordata; Aves; Galliformes; Numididae
Exons: 3
Source: RefSeq, a predicted model, not a curated record
UGUAAGUAAGAUGCAUAAUAAAAAUGGUCCCAAAAAGAUACUGUUUCAGAGAAGCACAAGGCUACUCUUUGAAGGAUUAUCUGUGUUUGUAUUCCUCUUCAGAGAUUUUCUUGCUUUCAUGUGCUCCAACAUUAGGCAUGAUGCUAAAUUUACAGAGCAAAUUAUACAGUGGUCUUGAAAAAAUUAUAGAACUAAGAAUUUGCAUUUAUAAAGAUGGGUGUAAAGCAGAGUUUCAGAUCAAAGUAAUCCUGGGAAAGGGGAUGUUCAUGCAUGCCUUAUUUCAUGAAACUGCAGCACAGCUUUCGCUUUGGAAGAAGAUACUUAGUGAAAGUCAUCAAAAGCCCUUUUAUCAAAUUUCUUUUUGACUUAAUUUAAAAUUCACCCAUUUAAAAUGCUCCCUUUUAACUAGAAAUCCUCAUAUCAAGUUUUUGGAAUUUGGGAUUUCCAUUUUUCUACAGGAAUCAUUUUCUGUAGAAUCCUUUCACAUUCCUCAAGUUUCCUUCCGUUACCUUCUAAUUGACACUGAUAUUUGGAUGAACUUCUAGGGAGUAGAAUCAAGGAAAGCUUGUGGGCUGGCUCUCAAAGAAUCAAAGCAGAGAAUCAGAACAUGGCUUGGAGAAAGGUUCAUGGAUUAUGUUUUCACUAGUUAUUGCAGUUCUGUUUUGGAUUUUGUUUUAUUUAUGAAAGAGAAUGUGGAAAUAAUCUAGAUUCAUUGCUUUCAGUCAAGAAGUAUGGACAAGUUUAUCUCCUGCUUGUUUACUUUCAGGGCAGCCUGCACUUAUGAGGAAUGUAAUCCUCGUACAAAAUGGCUAGUAUCAUAUCUACUGUUGUUACAAAUCAUGCCAGAACCUUUUUAAGAAAUCUCUCCACAGCAUGCAAAUGGCAUACUCUAAUAAGGUUUCAACUAUUUCAACUAUUCAUUUACAUAAAAAUCUCUGAUAACAUUGCAUAUGCAUAUUUUCUGUAAAUACAUCUGAAUAAAACUUUUGCUGACUCAAAUGAGGUAUAAUUCAAUAAUGUAAAUGUGACAGAAAGGGUGUUGAUUCAGGUCCUAUUCUUAAAGUAAGUUGAAUACCAAGUGCCCCAGCUUCUACUUAGCAUGCAAAUCACAAGACUGAUCUUGAACAACUGCUGCUCAAGGUAGAGGACGUUUGUCCUUUUGCUGCCAAGAUGUGAUAGAGAUGGCAGUGCCUUGGAUGACAGAAGGAAAACUGUUGGAGCCAUCUGCUAAUAAUACAGUAAUGGGCAGAAAUCACUCCAAAAUCCUGUUUGUGCUCUGCACUUUACACAAGAACAUGUGUGUGUGCUCACAAGCAGAAUAGAACAAUGUGUGACUCUAGAAGGACUUCCACUCAGAAGAGGAAGAAUUACAGAGAGAGCUGGGCAAUGGCCAGGGGGAGGAGAUUCCUGCUUCAAAACCUGGAGUGCACCCCUGAGCAGGGAGAAGAGCAACAAGGUGCCCUCACUUCAAGAAGUCAAAGGCAGUGUGAGAAACUAAACUUGUAUGUCUUGAGUCUUAUUUCUAUGGCUUCGAAACACCCUCAAAAAUAUUUUGUUGUUUCAAUGGACCAAACAGUGUCAUAGCACAAUGUCAUUGCUGUGAUUUAAAGCCCACUAGAGUAAUAAAUCCAGCUGAAUAUAAAAUGAAAAAUCAGUGUCUUGCACAUAAGUCACACUCAACAACUCUGUUACAAGGUGAAAUUAGAUAUCUAGAGAAUAGUAAUCAUGCAAAUAUUUUUUUUUUAAGAAAAGGGCAUGUGUUACAUAGAGUAUCUUGCAUCCUGCUCAUCCUUCUGAGUAGAAUAAAGAGCACAUACAGAAUGCAGAGAUUCAUAGUUAAGGAUGCUGAAAACCAAGAAACAUCUUGUUGCAUGGCAGAUUAUUUAUCUUGACCUCUUCUGCUUUGGAGAAAAAGCCAAAAGAUAUUUGCCUGUGGGAGUUAGGGUGUGCCCCGGCAUGCUCCUCAGAGUCCCUGUGCCAGGGAAACGAGCUCUUUGUGCCCGAUGCUGUGCUGUACUACUGAGCUGCCUGUGACACUGCCACUACUGAGUGACUCUAGACUCUAUUACCCUAAGGUAAUACAGACUUGGUCUCAGAGUCUGCUUCUCUUCACCUCCUCACCUGGGCAGGCACAGUCUGACAGGUCCCAGGCCAUCAGCAUCACCCAGACUUUAUCAUCAUCACAAGGCUACAGCCCCAGCUGUUUCUUGAGACCUGGCCCCAUAAUGUGGCCCAUUUUUUUUCCAGUAGAUGCCUUAGUCUCUCCCAUUUCAAGACCCCAUACUGUAAAUAAGUUUCUUUAAAAGUAAGUUUGUCCCCAUCCUGGAGGACUGAAGACUGCCCUGACUUCUCUGUUACUGCUGUUACAGCCGCACUAGCUGUGUGGAGCCCAGUGCUCCUGCCUUGCCUGGUUGCUGGGAGCAGAGCAGAGUGUGUUUGGGGCAGAAGAGUUCUUGGCAUCACCAUGGUGAAUUCAUAAUGACAAAUCAAGACAACUGUUAAUCUGCUGAAGCCCUAUCGGCAGAAGCAAUGUGACUGCAGACUCCUCAUUUUCAGUGAGCUCUCCUUACUCGCAGGCAGCAUGGUCUGAGCCUCAGGUCUGCCGUUUAGAGCCAAGCCCAUAAUCAGAGCUGCUGACUGUUGUGACAUUUGUAUGGAAGUCAUUGCUUAAUGCCUGCAGCAGGAAGGACAGGAGACCUGAGAUAUUUAUGUCACUACAAGACAUUAAGUAGCCACCAGACUGUCAGAUAAUUGGCAGAACAUGAACACAAUGCAGAGAAAUGAGUUGCUAUUGCUCUUAGCGGAGCUCUUCUCUAUUGCAGUGGGAAUAUGUUUUGUUAUUUCAUGAACAUUUAUUCUGCUUUUCUUGGAGGGAAAAUUAAACAUCUGUUUUCUGCUGUGAAAUGUAACUGCAAGGAAAUAAUCUGAAUAGCUGGACUGUAAGUAAGUGAAAUUUUGAGGCCAGUAUCCAACACUAGCCAGAAAUUAUCUUCUCUGAUGCACUGUGGAUUUUCAGUGCAGCUCCGCAUUGCAUAUUCAUCACCACUUGGCUGCACCAAUCUCCAAUUAAUGGGAGCUCCACACAGCAGAUGAGUGAAGAUGACAUUUACAUGACGUGAUGUGCAUAUAAUGUACCACAUGGCAAGUCAGAGGACGUUUGUGAUCUGGGCAAGCCAGGUUUCUCCUUUGCUAUUAAAAUGACACAGCUUCUGAUAAUUUUUAUUUUCCGUUCUUUGGAACAUAAUCAGAAGUGCUAAUCCCAAGUGCUAAAAAAAAUUAUGAAUCAGUUUCUCUGUUCUGCCAAAGCCAAAAUAAAAAUUACUUAAGCAUGAAGUUUUAAGAAUAACACAAGGUGGAUUCUCCUGUUUUGGGCCCUCUCAGUACAGUCAUAAGCAAAAGAAAAUUACACUCAAACAGAAGAUGAGAUUCUGGAGAGUCACAGAUCUCCAGAAGUUAAAGCUAAAAGGCAAAUAUUCCAACAAUUGUGUUAGAGACAAAAAUGGAUAAAAACAUCAAAUGUCUUUAUUAAUUCAGUCCUAAUCCAUUCUGCCAAUAUAUUGUGUCAUACUGUCUUAUUUAAUUAUUAUUUUAUUUUAUUUUUUAAAUGCUAAAAACAUAGGAACCAGAGGAAAGGAAAUAUUCAGUGUUUCCUAAAAGUUCUCUGGCUCCUUAGAAAGAAGUGGCCAAAAUUUGAACACUUCUUCUUACUGAAAGAUUGGUUUGGGCAUUUCCUGGCUCUCCAGCAUAGCUACUGGGGAAAAAAAACAGAACGGAAUGAGAAAUUGAUUUUAUUUAGGAGACACUGUCACAAAGCAAAACAGCCCCACAAGUGUGAAGAUGUUGGAAAGAGACUUUCCUAAAUAUAAAGAUGAAGUGCAUUAUAAACUGUUUAUGUGCAAGCUGAAAUGAAAGAUGAUGUUCUCUAAUAGUGUGAUUAAUAAGCCUAUGGUAGCUGGGGAGAUAGUAUAAGUCACUCAACAAAACCAGUUCCAAACAUGUUUUCUGAAUAUAAUUAGUUUUUCUCUAUACCUCUGUUUUCCACUGACUUGGACAUAAAUCUUAAAUCGUAAAUCAUAAGUCUUAAAUCACUUCAAAGCUGCUUUAUAUUUCUACUGAGAGAUUUUGCCAAAGAAGGUCUGGUAGAUCAGUGCGGAUUGAUACUGAGGUAUAGCUCAGUACACACCAGGUUUUGUACAAAUGGCAGGCAUGAAUUUUACUGACAUUGACGGUUUUGAGCUACUGUAACUGAGUGCAUGGAGAUCUGCUUCUAGUUCUCCUACCUGUUAAACUGCUGUCUACCUACUCAUGCACUGCUUCUGUUUAGACAUGGCCAUUCCCUCUCACAGACAUAUUCUUAUCAACAUACUGAGCUGGUAGAAAUGGUAGAUAUCUGUUAAUAGAAGUUAUAUCAGGUGAGAUUCUUGUUGCUGAGAAUUCAUGUGUGUAAUUCUGCAGAUAACUUUAUCCCCAUAAAGGAGGAUUUUUAAUAGAUCAAAGCAGAAGCUUUUUGUAUAACACCACUGUCACUGACAUAUACUGAAAAUUAAAAAGGAAGAUCACAACAGGAAGAUCAGGAAGAAUACAACAAUGUAUUUCUUGAAUGUAAGAUUUUUGAAGAAUAGUCAUAUUAUAAAUUUCACAUUUAAAUGGCACGAUGCACCAAGGAAUAGGCAGAUGUGAUAUAUGGAUCCAGGCCUUUUGACACUCCUGAAAAUUCCCAUUUUGAACUGGUACUCAAAAUCCAGACAGCUUUCACAGCGUCAGCAUCCUUCCUGUCUUGAAGACUGAUGUCUUGAAGCAAGUGUCCUGAUUGACAGACAUCACAGAUCACUUGAAAAUGCCUGAGUGCUCAAAUAAUGUGAAAACAGUUGCCAGAUUUCUAUGAGUCCUGUAUGUCAAAUCUGGUGUUCAUAUUUCUCUGGCCAUACACUUGUAUUCACAUUUGCAGUCUUGGGGAUCUGAUAAGAUACCUUCUAGAAGACCUGAUAAAGCUUAAAAAACACCCUUCCCCAGUUGUCUUCUCCACAUUUGGCCCCUCCAUGCCAUCAUGCUGGAGCUGGGCUGAGAGCUGGUGUGGCAGCCAAGACUGGUGCUGCGUGACUGACCCUUUUGGGAGGGAAAGUGUGACAAGCCACAGCAAAUUUGGCAGAACUGGUCUGUUGGCACUACUAGUUUUCCCUUUGCUGAUCUACCUGGUAACAUGACAAGGAUUUACAGGUAACGUUGGUGAACUUGGAAUCACAGGAUCACCGGCUGAGGUUGGAAGGGACCUCAGGAGAUUACCUGAUCCCAUUUCCCUGUUCAAGCACGGCCACCCAGAGCAGGUUGUCCAGGUGGCUUUUGAAGAUCUCCAAGGAGGAGACUGCAUAGCCUCUACUGGGCAAACUGUACCAGUUCUUGGCCACUCGCACAGACAGAACUGCCUGUGUUCUGGUUCGUGCCCAUGAAUGCCCUGGCACUGGGCACCACUGAAGAGCCUGGAUCCAUCCUCUUUGCACCUUCCAUUGAGGUAUUUAUAGAUACUGAUGCGAUCCCUCCUGAACCUCCUCCAGGCUGAACAGCUCAAAAAACAACUACAAAGCAUUCAAUACUCAGAAGCGCUUGGACACUUCCAAAGGAAGAAAAAAAGGGCCUUGAUGUAAACUGGAAUAAAGACUAGAGAAUACAUUAUUUGUGUAGAUUCAAACGUCCCUUACAAUUUGGUAUUGAAGCAAGGUGAGAAGGCAUUGGCACCUUCUUCCCACUCUACUGGGUACCUUGAUGAGGCCAGCACUCACCUUGAGGGUUUUGUUGUGCCUCU